CAAAGCCUCGGGGGGCAGCAGUGGGGAAUAUUGCACAAUGGGGGAAACCCUGAUGCAGCGACGCCGCGUGAGUGAAGAAGUAUUUCGGUAUGUAAAGCUCUAUCAGCAGGGAAGAAAAUGACGGUACCUGACUAAGAAGCCCCGGCUAACUACGUGCCAGCAGCCGCGGUAAUACGUAGGGGGCAAGCGUUAUCCGGAUUUACUGGGUGUAAAGGGAGCGUAGACGGCAGAGCAAGUCUGAAGUGAAAGCCCGCGGCCCAACUGCGGGACGGCUUUGGAAACUGCCCGGCUGGAGGGCUGGAGAG
This 305-nucleotide ribosomal RNA is filed under the name uncultured bacterium. RNAcentral describes it as "bacterial SSU rRNA". It matches the Rfam family "Bacterial small subunit ribosomal RNA", at positions 331 to 656 of the family's 1533-position model. The record is from RNAcentral.